AUUGAACGCUGGCGGCAUGCUUUACACAUGCAAGUCGAACGGUAACAGGCCGCAAGGUGCUGACGAGUGGCGAACGGGUGAGUAAUGCAUCGGAACGUGCCCAGUCGUGGGGGAUAACUACUCGAAAGAGUAGCUAAUACCGCAUACGAUCUAUGGAUGAAAGCGGGGGACCGUAAGGCCUCGCGCGAUUGGAGCGGCCGAUGUCAGAUUAGGUAGUUGGUGGGGUAAAGGCUCACCAAGCCAACGAUCUGUAGCUGGUCUGAGAGGACGACCAGCCACACUGGAAGUGAGACACGGCCCAGACUCCUACGGGAGGCAGCAGUGGGGAAUUUUGGACAAUGGGCGCAAGCCUGAUCCAGCAAUGCCGCGUGCAGGAAGAAGGCCUUCGGGUUGUAAACUGCUUUUGUACGGAACGAAACGGCUCUGGUUAAUACCCGGGGCUAAUGACGGUACCGUAAGAAUAAGCACCGGCUAACUACGUG
RNAcentral lists this ribosomal RNA (482 nucleotides) under uncultured bacterium. Its description in RNAcentral is "partial 16S ribosomal RNA". It matches the Rfam family "Bacterial small subunit ribosomal RNA", at positions 30 to 507 of the family's 1533-position model. The record is from RNAcentral.